UACGUAGGGGGCAAGCGUUGUCCGGAUUUAUUGGGCGUAAAGAGCGUGUAGGCGGCCAAACAGGUCAGCUGUGAAAACUCGAGGCUCAACCUCGAGACGUCGGUUGAAACCGUUUGGCUAGAGUCCGGAAGAGGAGAGUGGAAUUCCCGGUGUAGCGGUGAAAUGCGUAGAGAUCGGAAAGAACACCAACGGCGAAAGCACUCUGCUGGGCCGACACUGACACUGAGAGACGAAAGCUAGGGGAGCGAAUGGG
This 253-nucleotide ribosomal RNA is filed under the name uncultured bacterium. RNAcentral describes it as "partial 16S ribosomal RNA". It matches the Rfam family "Bacterial small subunit ribosomal RNA", at positions 524 to 776 of the family's 1533-position model. The record is from RNAcentral.